Molecule: ribosomal RNA, 497 nt
Filed under: uncultured bacterium
Lineage: Bacteria
Description: partial 16S ribosomal RNA
Rfam family: Bacterial small subunit ribosomal RNA
Source: RNAcentral
GAUGAACGCUGGCGGCGUGCCUAAUACAUGCAAGUCGAGCGAACAGAUGAGGAGCUUGCUCCUCUGACGUUAGCGGCGGACGGGUGAGUAACACGUGGAUAACCUACCUAUAAGACUGGGAUAACUUCGGGAAACCGGAGCUAAUACCGGAUAAUAUAUUGAACCGCAUGGUUCAAUAGUGAAAGACGGUUUUGCUGUCACUUAUAGAUGGAUCCGCGCCGCAUUAGCUAGUUGGUAAGGUAACGGCUUACCAAGGCAACGAUGCGUAGCCGACCUGAGAGGGUGAUCGGCCACACUGGAACUGAGACACGGUCCAGACUCCUACGGGAGGCAGCAGUAGGGAAUCUUCCGCAAUGGGCGAAAGCCUGACGGAGCAACGCCGCGUGAGUGAUGAAGGUCUUCGGAUCCUAAAACUCUGUUAUUAGGGAAGAACAAAUGUGUAAGUAACUAUGCACGUCUUGACGGUACCUAAUCAGAAAGCCACGGCUAACUACGUG